This is a long non-coding RNA of Callithrix jacchus (white-tufted-ear marmoset), 1622 nucleotides long. Lineage: Eukaryota; Metazoa; Chordata; Mammalia; Primates; Cebidae. The record is from Ensembl.
CUGGAGGGGCAGGGCGGGGUGGGAGGGGCAGGGCAGGGUGGGAGGGGCGAGGACGGAGGGGAGGGGAGGAGAUGGAAGGGAGGGCGGGGCGGGGAUGGAGGAGAAGGGUGGAGCAGGGAGAGGCGGAGGGGCGAAAAGAGGAUGAAGGGGAGAGGAGAGGCGGGAUGAUCCCCCGCAGCUCUGAACGCCCGGCCUGCCUGUGCUUCGUGCGUUGCUGGGAGCGCCCCUGCCGGAGGCUCCCGGGCGGGUCGGCGUCCGCUUCCAGAGCCGAGGCCGGUUCUCACCCGGGCGGCCACGCCGCGCGCUGAACGGUUCCCCGCUGUCUCGGCUGAAAUGGGUGGGCAGAUCCUGUGAGCUACUUUUAAGUGCUAUAAUGAGCACCCUGAUUGCCAGCCCUGGGAGCAGCAAUGGCUCCGGGGAGCGGAGGGGGUGUCGUCCGCGCCCAUGUGCCAGGUCUGGACGCACGGAAGCCACAGCGGUGAUGGGCCCAGCGGAUAUUCCUCCGGGUGCGGGGUUGGGAAAUGGCUGGCGGGCCGCUGGACAGGAGCGCUGUCUCCCUGAGAUUUGCGGGGCUCGGGCUUGUGCAGCAGACUCUACGGGCGAACCCAGCCACGGAUGUCUGCAGGCAGCCCUGCGCGCGUGCAGACUCCAGGCAGGAGGCCAUGGCUCCCUCGUUCCUGCUCUGCCUGCGCCCUCACCCACCAGGCCGGCCGGGAUGACUGGGACCGACGGGGCUUUAUGGAAUGCAAAACUUUCGGUGAGUUUUGCUGCUGAGUAUCCUCCUUCUACCCCUGGGAGGAGGGCUGAAAUCGCAGAAGUCCUGGGUGGACCAGGGCAAAUUGGUCAUCCUAAGGCCAACCUAGCUUCUGGGGUUGAGGCAGUCACCCUGCUGUAUUAACCACACGGGGCAUAGACUCCUGGGGGAAUAAUCGCCUUCAGUUUCCUGGAGUCCCCAGAGAUUUUAUUUGUCUUCUUCACUCUGUGUGUGUGGCUGUAUCUGGAUUCCGCAUACAGUACAAUCAAUCUGCUUCUGAUUCUUUUAAGCCCAGAAUUGCUUAUUAAUUCCUAAUUUGGGAGCAGCACCAAUGUAGCUGUGGGUACCAGUCCCAUCCAGCUCCUUUAAAGGCAGGGUCUCUGCAGAGAGUGCAGGACAGUGAGGCCCCCUGGUCCCUUCUUUCUGGCUUUGCGGUAAGCUCUGAACUGUGCUGCUUUUUUUUUUUUUUGAGACGGAGUUUCGCUCUUGUUACCCAGGCUGGAGUGCAAUGGCGCGAUCUCGGCUCACCGCAACCUCCGCCUCCUGGGUUCAGGCAAUUCUCCUGCCUCAGCCUCCGGAGUAGCUGGGAUUACAGGCACGCGCCACCAUGCCCAGCUCAUUUUUUGUAUUUUUAGUAGAGACGGGGGUUUCACCAUGUUGACCAGGAUGGUCUCGAUCUCUUGACCUUAUGAUCCACCCGCCUUGGCCUCCCAAAGUGCUGGGAUUACAGGCGUGAGCCACUGCGCCCGGCCUGAACUGUGCUUCUUUUGAGUGUUCCACACCUUGUCCUCUUUCACAGAUCUUGUUGGUUUCCUUUUGGUUCAGGCCCCUAUUGCUGAUGCAAUGGGUAUAGCUGACCUGCUUAGUU